UCCUUCCCCCACACCUUACUACUGCUUUGAACCAGUGUGCUGCAUUGAAAGAGAUAGAUGAGGAAACCCAGGCCUGGAGAGGUCAAGCAACUUGCUCAAGUGGCACAGCUGGAGAGUGGGGAGCUGGGACUUGAGCCCAGGUAGUGUGUCCCCAGCACCUUCAACUAAACUCCAUUCUGUGCUGCCCUUUGGAACACCCACUCAAUGGCCUUCACACUCCAUGUCCUACUUGGGAGGACAUGUGAUCUCAACAGCACUCACAAAUGAAGGCUUUCCAGACAGGAUAUUGAAGAUGGGAGGUGUGAGCUGUGGGAGAGAGCUGACUAAGAAGAAGAAACUCCCCAGAAAGGUGGCCUGCCAGUCUUCACGAUGUAUGGGAGCAGGUGGGAAAAGAGCUGCAAGUGUUUGCACUUCAUCAUUGAAAUUGUUGAAACUGCUGAUCAGGAAACACAGAAUGAGUUUAACCAGCGAUGCCAACUUCUGCAAGAUGGACUCCAGCUUGGGAGCUCUGUAUGGAA
This 518-nucleotide long non-coding RNA is filed under the name Homo sapiens (human). Its description in RNAcentral is "HSALNT0107174". The record is from RNAcentral. Lineage: Eukaryota; Metazoa; Chordata; Mammalia; Primates; Hominidae.